Molecule: ribosomal RNA, 242 nt
Filed under: uncultured bacterium
Lineage: Bacteria
Description: partial 16S ribosomal RNA
Rfam family: Bacterial small subunit ribosomal RNA
Source: RNAcentral
GCUUGCUACGAUUUAACUUAGUGGCAGACGGGUGAGUAAUGUAUAGGAAUCUACCUAGUAGUACGGAAUAAUUGUUGGAAACGGCAACUAAUACCGUAUACGCCCUACGGGGGAAAGAUUUAUUGCUAUUAGAUGAGCCUAUAUUAGAUUAGCUAGUUGGUAGGGUAAAAGCUUACCAAGGCAAUGAUCUAUAGCUGAUCUGAGAGGAUGAUCAGCCACACUGGAACUGAGAUACGGUCCAG